UUCUCGAAUUUAAAAGAGCUAUUAAUUUUUCUGUUAUAAGAAUUUUAAAAAUGAAGUUAAAUGCUAAUAUAUCUAGUUUUUCAAGAUAAUUUAAUUAAUCUAUUUUCUAAGGGAUAAGCUUUAGAUAGGAAUAAAAGUUUUUUUAUAACAGUUUUAUUGAUAUAAAAAAAAUAAUUAUUUUUGUAAUAAUGAUUGAAUUAGUAUAAGGUUUUUAAAAGGAAUUCGGCAAAAAUUUUCCGCCUGUUUAUUAAAAACAUGUCUUUUUGAUUAUACUUUAAAGUUUGACCUGCCCACUGAGGCCGCGGUAUAUUGACCGUGCAAAGGUAGCAUAGUAAUUAGUUUUUUAAUUGAAAGCUGGAAUGAAUGGUUGGAUGAGAAAAUAACUGUCUCUUAAAAAUAGAACUUUAUUUUUAAGUUAAAAAGCUUAAAUGAAUUUAAAAGACGAGAAGACCCUAUAGAGUUUGAUUUUGGUUGGGGUGAUUAAAAAAUUAAUUUAACUUUUGAUUAAUAGAUAAAAUUACCUUAGGGAUAACAGAGUAAUUUUCCUUAGAGUUCAAAUCGAAAGGAUAGAUUGCUACCUCGAUGUUGGAUUAAAAUUUAUUUUGGUGUAGAAGCU
This 616-nucleotide ribosomal RNA is filed under the name Rosalia coelestis. RNAcentral's name for it is "partial large subunit ribosomal RNA". Lineage: Eukaryota; Metazoa; Arthropoda; Insecta; Coleoptera; Cerambycidae. The record is from RNAcentral.